This 494-nucleotide ribosomal RNA is filed under the name uncultured bacterium. RNAcentral's name for it is "partial 16S ribosomal RNA". It matches the Rfam family "Bacterial small subunit ribosomal RNA", at positions 28 to 507 of the family's 1533-position model. The record is from RNAcentral.
GACGAACGCUGGCGGCGUGCUUAACACAUGCAAGUCGAACGGAAAGGCCUACUUUCCCUUGUGGAUUGCGGGUACUCGAGUGGCGAACGGGUGAGUAACACGUGAGUGAUCUGCCCCCAACUUGGGUAUAAGCCUGGGAAACUGGGUCUAAUUCCCGAUAGGACUGCAGGGUGGUGCCUGUGGUGGAAAACGAUUUUCUAGUGGUUGGGGAUGAGCUCGCGGCCUAUCAGCUUGUUGGUGGGGUAAUGGCCUACCAAGGCGGCGACGGGUAGCCGGCCUGAGGGGGUGGACGGCCACAUUGGGACUGAGAUACGGCCCAGACUCCUACGGGAGGCAGCAGUGGGGAAUAUUGCACAAUGGGCGGAAGCCUGAUGCAGCGACGCCGCGUGGGGGAUGACGGCCUUCGGGUUGUAAACUCCUUUCGACCGCGAGGAAGCCACCUGGUUGGAAGGGUGGUGACGGUAGUGGUAGAAGAAGCACCGGCUAACUACGUG